This 72-nucleotide transfer RNA is filed under the name Heterocephalus glaber (naked mole-rat). It matches the Rfam family "tRNA". Rfam says of the family: Transfer RNA (tRNA) molecules are approximately 80 nucleotides in length. Their secondary structure includes four short double-helical elements and three loops (D, anti-codon, and T loops). The record is from Rfam by way of RNAcentral. Lineage: Eukaryota; Metazoa; Chordata; Mammalia; Rodentia; Bathyergidae.
GGGGUUGUAGCUCAGUGGUAGAGUGCUUGCCUAGCAUGCAGGAGGCCCUGAGUUUGGUCCCCAGCACUACCA